Molecule: long non-coding RNA, 1750 nt
Organism: Astatotilapia calliptera (eastern happy)
Lineage: Eukaryota; Metazoa; Chordata; Actinopteri; Cichliformes; Cichlidae
Source: Ensembl
CACGAUGGACACUAAUGUUUUUGUCACUUUUUAUGGAAUCAAACUCAAAGUAAGGUAAAUGCUGAAUUCCAGUGUAUUACAACACUUCAACUGGAGAUGACCUUCGCGGCACAGUUAGACAGAAUUACACCUCAGUUGAUGACAGUUUUCCAGAAGAAGGGCGGUGUUUCUGGGCAGAAACUUGCCCACCACUUGCAGAUCAUGCAAGAGGCUGAAAGUGAUGUUAAAGUGAAAAGGGAAGCAGUUCUCAGGGCACUUUGCCUCUACCUUGGUGAAGAGGACGGAAGCCUUAUUCGGGAGUUCUUUGACAUUGAAGGAGAUGAUAUCUAGAGAGACCUGAAGAAGCACACCAUGGGCAUUUAUGUCAUCAACAGGGAGGAUGGACAAAAUGGACAUUAUGAUGACAUUGGAAUAUUUGUUGAAGGGGAGAUAGUCAUGGACAACAUUGGAUCUCUGGCCCAAGCUUGUGCAUUGAUGCUUGGAGUAAUCUAUGCACUAAACCUAGCCUUCCCCAAGGAAUUGAAGGACUAUUAUGAAUUCAUUUAGCAAGUGUUGAUGGGAUUCGAUGGUGAAAAGCUCUCCCCCAAAGUCUUUGGGCUGAAGAGCAAAAUUGCUACUGGAUAGGAAGAUUUCUAAAAUAACACAUCAAGAGAAUGCUGUUAUGUAAAUUACCAAUGACUGGUGCUCUUGUGAAUAGGAGUGAAACUCUUGUACAACCAUCAUUUGUUCUGUGUUAUGUUUCGAUUGAACAUUUUAACUUUCAAUAAUGAAUGUUUCACGUGUGGUACAUUUGAGUAGCUUGAAGAGCAACUUUGUAAUUAUUCAGUUAUAGCUGCUGCCCUGCGUAUAAUCAGUGUUAACUCAACCGGAUAAAAAAAACAAAAAAAACCAUUCAUGAUUACCACACUGCAGCACACUGGUAACACUUUAAAGACUAUUAAUUGUUUUGAAGCGAGUAUGUUAGGUCAGAAAAUAUGUAAAACAUUCAGAAUCUUCAAGGAAGGACUAGAAUGGAAAGACAGUGGUCAAUAAGCAGUAAGGAAAACACAAGUUUAAUUUUAAGUCUAAUUACCUUAUUAAAAUGCAAUUUCUAAAUAUGGAUCGCAGAACAGCAAGUCUGAAACUGGUUAGUUUGUGGAUGCAUCAGUUUCUAAUUGUGAUACAUUAUACUGCUGGUAGUGUUUUAUUCUUUUAUGUAAGGAGUUUGUUUGUUUUUUUCUUUUUUAGAGGAAGAGAAACAUUGGUUAACAUUUCUCUUGUCUGUUGUUUCUGUUUUGUUUGAAUACAGCUUUUUAAAGCUACUAGUUCAUAGGCAAAAGUUUUGUAAUUUGUAUUAUACAAAUUGCAGCAAUUUCCCUUAGAGAUGUGGAUUCUUAUUCUGUUUGCAUUAAUAAAUGAUGUGAAAGAAUGUUGUAGUUUUCAUUAUUGACGUUUUUAAAAACUACAAAUCAGGGUAAGCAAUAUUUUUUAAGUAAACUUAACUUAAUUGAAAUAGAGAGAAAUUAACAAUUUGAUUGAUUUGAAUAUAAGUUUGGGACAUAAGUGUAAAGGAAACAAAUUAUUCUGGUACAUUUAACACGACCUUAGUUGGACUUACUAAUAAUAUUUGACUAAGACGUAUCCACAACAGUUAAGUUAAAGUAGCUUAAAAAUAUAUGUUGGUUUUACUCGCUUAAAUUAAAUUCAGUGUACUUAAAAAAUAUUUCUGGAUUCAAACAAAUUUAUUUCAUGCAACCACUUGUCAUAAAAA